RNAcentral lists this long non-coding RNA (2154 nucleotides) under Homo sapiens (human). RNAcentral describes it as "HSALNT0403698". Lineage: Eukaryota; Metazoa; Chordata; Mammalia; Primates; Hominidae. The record is from RNAcentral.
AUUUCCCCCAUGCUGUUCUUGAAGUAGUGAAUAAGUCUCACGAGAUCUGAAUGUUUUAUAAGGGGAAAUCCCUUUCACUUGGUUUUCAUUCUCUCUCGUCUGCCACCAUGAAAGAUGUGCGUUUCACGUUCCACUAUGAUUGUGAGGCCUCCCCAGCUGCAUGGAACUAGACAAGGUCUCGCUAUGUUGCCAAGUUUGGCCUUGAACUCCUGGCCUCAAGCAAUCUUCCCACCUUGGCCUCCUGAGUUGCUGGGAUUUCAGUUAACUUAUCAAAACAGUAAUGCUAUGUCAUAAUAUCACAUAGUUUUGAAACCGUUUUCAGUGGGAAGUGCUUUGUAGAUUUCUUCUCAUUCAUUCUUUUGCUAUCUGUAUUUUUAAUAUAUUAUUUAUAAAUUUGAUCUUGUUUGUUCCUAUGUCAUCUCUAUUGUAGGACUUACCAUCAUAUAAUCUAGUAGUAAGUUUUAUGAGAGCUCUCCGUGCCCCAUAGUCUCAUUGAACCAACCAUCUCUGUUUCUUCAGCACCUCAUGGAGCUGAAUGUUUCUUUUUACACUGUGAAUAAAGGGACAGGUGAGUUGUUGGAAUGUUCUCUGAUUUUGGGGAAUGGAGAAUCUGGGUUCAUACAGUGAAGGCUUUCGUGACAGCCUGGUCUGCUUACUGAAAGCUUCAGCUUUCUUUUAAUGCUUAGUGUAUAGAUGUGAUAAAAUCACUCACAGAAACAAUGAUUCGUCUUCCUAGACACAUCUGUAGGAGUUCCUUGAAGGACAGUGGAUCUAGUCCUAAAUACUUUAUAUUCACCCCUUCAAUGAGUAAUCAACUUCACUCCAUCCAGAAGUUGGGUAGUUAGGAACUUGAAAACAAUCUAAGAAACUUUUGCAAUUUCAGGCUUAAAUGAUAGUGUAUGUAAAUGUACAUGUUUCUGUCACAUCAUAGAAAUUAAAUCCAGGAGCCAAAGAAGCCUUUGUUAAUUUUCCUAGAAAGAGAAGCAAGGGGAAAAAAAGGGCGAGUCUAUCCAGAAAACCGCUAAGUGAUCUGUGGCUAGCAGGGCAUCCCACAAUUAUAAACAUUUUUUUGAAAUUAUCUAGGCAGUAUCAUAGGUCUUAUUUCAUAACAUCUCAAACUAAUAUCAAAGAGAAAAAAAAACUUCUAACUUAUUCCUUUGAAAUAUAAUUGAUGGCCAUAAGUCCCAGUAGGCUUACCAGAUUCUUCCUUGGGAGCAGGAAGUAAAUAUGACAACAGACCAAGACUAAAGUGAUACCAACAUGGAACUUCAGUCUGUUCAAAUAGGAAGAUGGGCCAGGACCCAUCUUAGAGUUGUGGUGUCCAGUAUGGUAGCCAUGAACUCCAUUUGGCUCUUUAAAUUAAUGAAAAUGAUAAAUAAUUUAAAAACUGGUUUCUCCCUCACACCAGCCACAGUUCAAGUGGUCAGUAGCCACAUGUGGCUGGUGGACAUCAUAUUGGAGAGUGCAGAUUAUUAUACAAUGUUGUAUGUACGCAUUAUUGUCAUCGUGGAAAGUUCUUUUGGACAGGACUGGCUUACAGUCAGAGCUUUCACUGUUAGAAAGUGACCAGUCUAACUGAUUAGAAAGCAAGGGGUCACUAGCAGCAUUGGUUAGUUAGAUUGAAGGUCAAUAACUACAGUUUAGCUAGGUUUAGAAAUACAAGCAGAACAUGAUCUGGAUAAUAACUCUUUGCUGCUUAAUUGCUAACCAAAAACAGCCAGAUAGUGACCGUUUUGGAGGUGAAGGGGAUGGGAGAUUAGAUUGGCUUGUCUUUCAUAUGAAACCACUCUUGACUUUGAUGUGAAGUUUAAAGAUUUGAUCCCUUCCUAGGUCUUCUGCAUCCUAUUUUAAUAUGCUACCACUUACUUUAGAAAUUCUCAUAUCUGGAUUUUAUGAUGAUUGGUCUGGUGCUCCACAGACCUCACCAGAAACUUUAACGCUACGUGCCUUGGGCUUUCUUGCUGGAAAAUAUCCUGUGUAGAACACUCUGUCUGCCUCUAGGUAAGUGUCAUUUUCGGGGAGGGAAUCUCCCUGAGGACUUCUGCCAUUUCAGAUGAGAAAGCCCAGAAUUAUUCUUACAGCAUAAGAUGCCACAUAGUGGUUAUGAUAUGAAUAUAAGAAAUGACUUAGAGGAGAUGCGGGGGGGGUGCUGCU